RNAcentral lists this ribosomal RNA (253 nucleotides) under uncultured bacterium. Its description in RNAcentral is "partial 16S ribosomal RNA". It matches the Rfam family "Bacterial small subunit ribosomal RNA", at positions 524 to 776 of the family's 1533-position model. The record is from RNAcentral.
UACGUAGGGACCGAGCGUUGUCCGGAUUCAUUGGGCGUAAAGAGCUCGUAGGCGGCCACUCAAGUCGAAUGUGAAAACUCGGGGCUUAACCCCGAGCCUGCAGUGGAUACGGGCAGACUAGAGGUAGGUAGGGGAGAAUGGAAUUCCCGGUGUAGCGGUGAAAUGCGCAGAUAUCGGGAGGAACACCGGUGGCGAAGGCGGUUCUCUGGGCCUUACCUGACGCUGAGGAGCGAAAGCGUGGGGAGCGAACAGG